CGCGCUCGACGCCAAGGGACCUCGACACCCUCGGCCUCCCCCUCCUCCGCCCGGACUUCAUCGUUUGCAACUUCUUCAACGUGUUCGACGAGAACCCCUCGGUAUUCGCGGGCCUCUUCGUCAAGAAAGCCAGCCUCGGCUUGCUGGAGCGCUCCACCGUCGCGCGCAGCAUCGUCAUCGUGGACAUCGUCCCGGCGCGACGGUGGUCGCUCCACGACAAAUACUGCACCGACUUCGACAGCUCGCUCACCUCCCCCAAGCUGGCAGAGCGCUGCCGCAAACGGCGGUCAACGUCGACACCACCACAUCUUCCCCGGCCCGCUCAACGCGUCCGCCACCGGUCGCAGGACCGACGCGACUGAGAACAGCGACACGCCAGACAUUUGCGAAGUGGACAGAACGGCAUCUGCAUAUGAAGAGGAGAUCAUUCUGGAGGUGGAGUGCAGGGGCCUGGACCACGCGGACGCUCUGGGCCUGAUCACGAUCGGCAACUGGCUACGGUGCAACUGGCUGCUGGUGGCGAUACAGAGGCUGCGGCACCCGCACCCGGAGCACGGCCGCGGGCAGCAGCUGGUGUGACUGUACGGGCCGUGCGUCAAGUUCGAGCGAGGGGCCUCGCCGGCAUUCAACGUGUACGACUGGAAGGGGGAGAGGGUGGCGCCACUACUGCAAGUCUGCAACUGCGGUGGCUCCCUUCGUGCAGCGCACCAGGAUGAGAGGGCGCGGAAUAGGGGUACUAGGCCAGGCCUGCACUCGCUAUUGCUUCUUUUGAAAGACGAGAUUUAUUCUAUUUGGUGGCUGCAAAUUGUCUCCUGCAAGGAACAUUGAUCCGGGCGCGGAUCCGAGAUGCACAUUGCAGGACCAGAUAAGCACCGUCGCUUCAGCCUUCAGAUGCCAAAUGUUUGAUCCGGUCCAUAAUUUGUGACUAUUUUCCAAUGCAUGGUGCACCAUAUUGUGCGUGUUCCUCCUUGGGGCGACAUAGAGAGGAUUCUCCAACCAGUUGAGCAGCACCUUCAUCGAUCUGUGCGAUGCUAUAGUUGAGAUAGAAUUGUUGAUGUCGAAGUUUGCUAAGCUAAGCUUUAGAUGGGAAAGGCGGUAUUUGGAAUAACCUCAAUAUUACCUGCUGGGCUAUUGGAUCAAUAUAGUCAACGAGUCUCAGAAAAUAUAUCAUCAACGAUAUGCGAGACAAGGCGAUAGUUGCGGCUCCGUGUUGUAGUUCGAAUAACCUCAUUAGUAUCUUCUGAGCUAUUGGAUCAAUAUCAUCGACGAGAGUCUCUCAGGAAAAAUAUCAUCAACAAGAGGCAAGGCAAACUGUUGUUGCUCCGUGCUGCUCGGUUCUCUAAGGUAUCCACAAAUUGUUGAUGACAAAAUAAUUAGAAAUCGUUGACUUCCACUAAAAGAGAAGGUGAAUACUACAUAUGAUUGAUUUAGGAUUAAUUAUUAGGUAUGUUUUAUUUCCUUUCCCUGCAGUAUCGAAUGAGCCUGGUAUGUUGAGUAUAACUUUUCCUAAGCUCUCGAAUGAUAUUUACCAAGAGCUGAUUGUUUGAGCACUGUCACAUUUAUUUACUUUACCAACAUGGAGAAUAUUUCUACUUCAUAGAGUGGUGCUUUUUAUUUCAUUAAGAAAAAACGCAUAUGGGGGAACCUUAUUUUCUUCAUUGUGAUUUGCAAUGAAGCACUACAUGUUUAAAUCUCCCUCGGUACUUUAGUUAGGCCCUUAAUGCUACAAGGUGAUCAAUUUUCACUUAAAAUUAUGAAGCGAUGUCCAUAUAAUAGAGAAAGAUAGAUUUACACCGUAGGGGCUUCCCGUACGGUGAGGUGGUAAAAAAUACAAAAAUAUGUACAUCUACACAUGAUAAGAGAGUUAUUCGUUUUCUAACCGGUUCUUAAUUUAAGCUGCAGGUUUAUUUGGGAACUGUAUUGUCUUUUAGAUUAUUUUAAAUGAUGACAACUUGUUGCUUUUUUGCUCUAUCUCUUUCAUAAGUACAUGUCUUUGGUAGAUCAAAAUUCAAGUUCUUGCUAUUUUUUCUUCAUCACUUCCGCCAGUACCCGACUUCAUUCUGUUAUCCCUGGCAUUGGAAUAAAAAGUUCAUUUCAUACAGUAAACUUCAAAGAAAAUUGGACGUAAAAGUAUAUCACAUACAAUGAUGGGAUAGUUAUGGAUUAAUACACAAUAUAUCUUUUGUUCUGCUUUUGUUGUUUUCCCCUUUAUUUCUACACUUGCGAGCACUCCUUUCUUGCAUGUUGCAGAGUUGUUGUGCACAGUUGCAAGCGGGAGCUCAUUCAAAAAUACUGUGCUUCUGUUAAAAAAGGACGGUUUCCUGAUUAACUAUCAAUUCCCUUUGUUUAUCAUUUGUUCAUUCGUGACCUUGGUUUUAGGAUUAGUGAUCUUUCUCGGGCUUCUCCGUUUCAGCUGGACAUCUUUUUAUGGUUGUUUUGUUGUUGUGUGGGGUUACGAAAGGCCAAAUAGUACUUUACUGAUAAUGGCGAUAUGUGGCAUACGAUAUAUCUAUCGAGCUUGGACAUUAUGUGAUACAUGCCAACUGAUGACCCCUGAAUAUUGUAUAUGAACUGGCGAUUUGUCCAUUUUCGAUAUAAGGUGAUACAUGCCAAGAGUUAAUAUUGGGAAUGCCUGAUAUGUUCUUUAAAUUUGUGGUGUGGUUGCUCGCGAGAUUGGUCAUCUCCUCCAGACGGUAAUCCUACUACUAAGUGUGUGUUCAGUCGCAUGUUUAUGAUAUAGAAACUAAGUUAGAUCAUAGAGUGAAUAUAUUCAAUAGACAUGAUGAUAAAGAGGAGGCGGCUGACAUGAAUGGGCGGUUGUUGCCUCGGAGUCACCCUUGGCGGAGACAGAGGAGCCGGAUCCUCUUGAAUGUGACAGUUGAGAGGGAGGAAU
Molecule: long non-coding RNA, 2893 nt
Organism: Lolium rigidum
Lineage: Eukaryota; Viridiplantae; Streptophyta; Magnoliopsida; Poales; Poaceae
Exons: 4
Source: RefSeq, a predicted model, not a curated record